AUUGAACGCUGGCGGCAGGCCUAACACAUGCAAGUCGAAUGGUAACAGGAAACAGCUUGCUGUUUCGCUGACGAGUGGCGGACGUGUGAGUAAUGUCUGGGAAACUGCCUGAUGGAGGGGGAUAACUACUGGAAACGGUAGCUAAUACCGCAUAACGUCGCAAGACCAAAGAGGGGGAGCUUCGGGCCUCUUGCCAUCAGAUGUGCCCAGAUGGGAUUAGCUAGUAGGUGGGGUAACGGCUCACCUAGGCGACGAUCCCUAGCUGGUCUGAGAGGAUGACCAGCCACACUGGAACUGAGACACGGUCCAGACUCCUACGGGAGGCAGCAGUGGGGAAUAUUGCACAAUGGGCGCAAGCCUGAUGCAGCCAUGCCGCGUGUAUGAAGAAGGCCUUCGGGUUGUAAAGUACUUUCAGCGGGGAGGAAGGGAGUAAAGUUAAUACCUUUGCUCAUUGACGUUACCCGCAGAAGAAGCACCGGCUAACUCCGUG
This 490-nucleotide ribosomal RNA is filed under the name uncultured bacterium. RNAcentral's name for it is "partial 16S ribosomal RNA". It matches the Rfam family "Bacterial small subunit ribosomal RNA", at positions 30 to 507 of the family's 1533-position model. The record is from RNAcentral.